UACAGGACGAACGCUGGCGGCGUGCUUAAUACAUGCAAGUCAACUUGACUUUAGAUAGCAAUAUCGAAAAGUAGGGUGGCGCACGGGUGCGUAACGCGUAGGUAAUCUGCCCUGAGGUCUGACAUAACCCGUCGAAAGGCGGGCUAACAUCAGAUGAUAUAUAGUCACGACAUCGUGGAAAUAUCAAAUCUUCGGAGCCUUGGGAUGAGCCUGCGUCUGAUUAGGUAGUUGGCGGAGUAAUAGCCCACCAAGCCUACGAUCAGUAGCUGGUCUGAGAGGAUGAUCAGCCACACUGGAACUGAGACACGGUCCAGACUCCUACGGGAGGCAGCAGUAAGGAAUAUUGCUCAAUGGGGGGAAACCCUGAAGCAGCAACGCCGCGUGAAGGAUGAAAUACUUUUGUAUGUAAACUUCUGUAAGAUGGGAAAAAUAUUCUCCUCGGGAGAAUUGAUUGUACCAUCAGAGUAAGCCCCGGCUAACUACGUG
RNAcentral lists this ribosomal RNA (486 nucleotides) under uncultured bacterium. RNAcentral's name for it is "bacterial SSU rRNA". It matches the Rfam family "Bacterial small subunit ribosomal RNA", at positions 26 to 507 of the family's 1533-position model. The record is from RNAcentral.